Molecule: non-coding RNA, 23 nt
Filed under: Cricetulus griseus (Chinese hamster)
Lineage: Eukaryota; Metazoa; Chordata; Mammalia; Rodentia; Cricetidae
Source: RNAcentral
GCUAAUAACGCCAAGGUCGCGGG